Oreochromis aureus is the source of this 319-nucleotide long non-coding RNA. The record is from Ensembl. NCBI's taxonomy places the organism in Eukaryota, Metazoa, Chordata, Actinopteri, Cichliformes, Cichlidae.
AGGUCCAGCUGGUCCUAGAAAGAAACGUCCGUGCUGCGUUGAGGUCACCAACCUCGAUAUGAUCACUGAGAUGCUGAGGCUGAUACGACCGGCUCCCCUUAUUUUGACUCCGGUCAGUGAGCCAGACCACCGGUGGAAAUGUCUGUGAAGAUCCUCUCCGUCACUCUCCUCCUGGUCUCAAUGUGUGUGUGCUGCCACUCCUCUGAAGAUAAGACAAAUCAGUCUUUAACCUUCUAUGUCUCAAGUGCUCGUCUUCCUGGAAUUAAACCACCGUGAAUUAAACCAAAGGCAAUGUGAGUGCUGACGUGGUGGGGGAAAC